UUCCGGUUGAUCCUGCCGGAGGCUACCGCUAUUGGAGUUCGAUUAAGCCAUGCGAGUCGCGAGUCUUAGGGACUCGGCGUACCGCUCAGUAACACGUGGGUAACCUGCCCUAUGCUGGGGGAUAACCUCGGGAAACUGAGAAUAAUACCCCAUAGUUCACCACGCCUGGAACGGUGGGUGGAUCAAAGCUCCGGCGGCAUAGGAUGGGCCUGCGGCGUAUCAGGUUGUAGGGGGUGUAAUGUACCCUCUAGCCCUCUACGCGUACGGGUGUUGAGAGACAUCGCCCGGAGAUGGAUUCUGAGACACGAAUCCAGACCCUACGGGGUGCAGCAGGCGCGAAAACUUGGCAAUGCGAGAAAUCGUGACCAGGGAACUCCAAGUGCAUCGGGUAAGACCGAUGCUUUUCUUGACUCUUCAAAGGUCUUGGAAUAAGGGGUGGGUAAGGACGGUGCCAGCCGCCGCGGUAAUACCGGCGCCCCAAGUGGUAGUCGCUUUUAUUGGGCCUAAAACGUCCGUAGCCGGUCUGGUACAUUCGUGGGUAAAUCAACCAGCUCAACUGGUUGAAUUCUGCGAGCACGGCCAGACUUGGGACCGGGAGAGGUGUGGGGUACUCUCAGGGUAGGGGUAAAAUCCUGUCAUCCUGAGAGGACCACCUGUUGCGAAGGCGCCACACUAGAACGGAUCCGACGGUCAGGGACGAAGCCUAGGGGCACGAACCGGAUUAGAUACCCGGGUAGUCCUAGGUGUAAACGCUGUGGACUUGAUGUUGGGGGCGCUCCGAGCGCACUCAGUGUCGAAGCGAAGGUGAUAAGUCCACUGCCUGGGGAGUACGGUCGCAAGGCUGAAACUUAAAGGAAUUGGCGGGGGAGCACCGCAACCUGAGGAUUGUGCGGUUUAAUUGGAUUCAACGCCGGA
Molecule: ribosomal RNA, 915 nt
Filed under: uncultured marine archaeon
Lineage: Archaea
Description: bacterial SSU rRNA
Rfam family: Archaeal small subunit ribosomal RNA
Source: RNAcentral